UGCCCAAUGCGGGAAUCGAACCCGGGUCGUAUCGGUCGAAAACCAACGGUGUAGACCAUCCUUCCACCGAC
Molecule: transfer RNA, 71 nt
Filed under: Cordylochernes scorpioides
Lineage: Eukaryota; Metazoa; Arthropoda; Arachnida; Pseudoscorpiones; Chernetidae
Description: tRNA-Glu
Source: RNAcentral